UAAAGCGCGCGUAGGUGGUUUGUUAAGUUGGAUGUGAAAGCCCUGGGCUCAACCUAGGAACUGCAUCCAAAACUAACUCACUAGAGUACGAUAGAGGGAGGUAGAAUUCAUAGUGUAGCGGUGGAAUGCGUAGAUAUUAUGAAGAAUACCAGUGGCGAAGGCGGCCUCCUGGAUCUGUACUGACACUAAGGUGCGAAAGCGUGGGUAGCGAACAGGAUUAGAUACCCUGGUAGUCCACGCCGUAAACGAUGACAACUAGCUGUUGGGAGACAAUGUCUUUCAGUGGCGCAGCUAACGUUUUAAGUUGUCCGCCUGGGGAGUACGGCCGCAAGGCUAAAACUCAAAUGAAUUGACGGGGACCCGCACAAGCGGUGGAGCAUGUGGUUUAAUUCGAUGCAACGCGAAAAACCUUACCUACUCUUGACAUACUUGGAAGCUCUUGUAAUGAGAGUGUGCCUUUUGGAGCCAAGAUACAGGUGCUGCAUGGCUGUCGUCAGCUCGUGUCGUGAGAUGUUCCGUUAAGUCGGAUAACGAGCGCAACCCUUACCCUUAUUUGCCAGCGAUUCGGUCGGGAACUAUAAGGGGACUGCCGGUGAUAAACCGGAGGAAGGUGAGGACGACGUCAAGUCAUCAUGGCCCUUACGAGUAGGGCUACACACGUGCUACAAUGGGGAAUACAGACGGACGCUAAGCCGCGAGGUGGUGCUAAUCCUAUAAAGUUCUUCGUAGUCCGGAUUGGAGUCUGCAACUCGACUCCAUGAAGUCGGAAUCGCUAGUAAUCGCGAAUCAGCAUGUCGCGGUGAAUACGUUCUCGGGUCUUGUACACACCGCCCGUCACACCAUGGAAGUGGAUUGCACCAGAAGUAGAUAGUCUAACCUUCGGGAGGGCGUUUACCACGGUGUGCUUCAUGACUGGGGUGAAGUCGUAACAAGGUAGCCGUAGGGGAACCUGUGGCUG
Molecule: ribosomal RNA, 958 nt
Filed under: marine metagenome
Description: bacterial SSU rRNA
Rfam family: Bacterial small subunit ribosomal RNA
Source: RNAcentral